UAGAUAUAAUGCUAUUAGAAAC
This 22-nucleotide non-coding RNA is filed under the name Rattus norvegicus (Norway rat). Lineage: Eukaryota; Metazoa; Chordata; Mammalia; Rodentia; Muridae. The record is from RNAcentral.